Long non-coding RNA from Cavia porcellus (domestic guinea pig), 1956 nucleotides. RefSeq lists it as uncharacterized. The record is from RefSeq and is a predicted model, not a curated record. The transcript has 4 exons. Lineage: Eukaryota; Metazoa; Chordata; Mammalia; Rodentia; Caviidae.
GCUGGUCUGAGCUUGCUGUCGACGGCUGCCAUGAACUGCGGUCCAGCCAUGCCCGCCUGCCUUGGAGCCAACUGAGUGUGGACUGAAACCUCCAAAAACUUACCAUGGCCCCAUCUGGGGAAGAACAGCCAAGGAUGGGUGAGCUCUAAAGGUCCUGGAGUGAGAUCCUCUAAGGAAGCAUGGUCUGGUCGUGCAGAAGCACAACAGCAAGCACGAUAUAUUCACAUGUGCAUCGUGUCAGUUUCCCUCACAGAGGCCAGAAGCUAGCAAAACUCAAGCACCACUGCUAACUGCAGGAGUGGAUUUCAGGUCUGAAACUGAUCAAGAAGCUAUGUAGCUUAGCAGCUCAUCACUUACUGUCUAGGACAAAGUGACUGGGGAUUAGCAGAAGAAAGCCCACCUUUGGAGCGGGGAUGUCAUCAGGGUAGCAGAGAACAAGUGAUGAAAGACAGGCCUCUUGAGUACCUGGAGAAGGGCCAGGUAUCAAGGGAUGGCAGCUUUGAAAGCCUUAGCCACUGCUGUCCAUGAACAGACUUAGUAUGGAGGCACCUUGAAGAAGCCUGCUGGUCCUUUUUCCUCGGAAGCCCUUUUGGGUUGAGAUGGAGCUGCGAGGCGGCAGAAGACAGGACUGUGGUUCCUCACCAUCCCUGCCUCAUCAUCAGGUGCUCCUCCUCUGAAAUCAUAUAUUGGCCAAGACACUUGUUGAUAUGUAUGCAUUGCAGGCUGUAUUUCACCUUGGUUGGAAUCAGUUGAGAAACCCUUUGUUUGCCUCAGUGUGAUCUUGCUUAAAAGCUUCCCAAACUCUGGCAGGAGAAGUUUAGACUCUAUUGCUAGCUAAGUGACACUAAAGCCAAUUUAGGCCUUUACAGGUACUUGCUACCUCUGGUAGACAGGGAUUAAGUGGAGAGAUAUGUAAAAUUCCCACCUUAAUGUUUGGUUGCACUCAGAACUGAGAUACAGCAUUGAACUAAAUUGAAGAUGAGGCAAAAUUCCUGUCCUCCUGCCUCCAGGCUCCUUAACAGAAUUUGCUUGCUGAUUUUCCCCAGUGCUGCCCUCUGCCCUCACCUGGUCCCUGUCACACACUUCACGGCAGUACAGUAUAGCUCUCUGAGGGUGCUGCUGAUUCUUGUCACUUCGAUAAAUCUGAUCACUCUGCUCACUGAAUGCAUUGCAGCAUACCUUGUGGCCUGCCCAAGAUGCUCCUAAAUGUAGAAGCUGCUAUUCAUCCCAUCUAACUCUUUCUUCAGACUCAGUAUAAAAGCAAUGAGUGAGAGGUUAUUGUACAGCCUUUAUGAUAAAUUGCAGAUGGCUUUAAUGAUAAUAAAAAUGACAAAAGCAUAAUGAAUAUCCAUUAGGAAAUCUGCUUUUGAUUUAGAUGCCUUCCCUUAUUAUUUCAUUUAAUCCUUAUUGUAAUCCUCUUGAACCCUUAAGACCACAUUCAUUUACCAAAUCUUUACCAACAUGAGAGCCAAUCAUCCUGCUCUUCUCAUGAAUAUUCAUCUUGUAGGAUUCUCAAUAUUUAUUUCUGUAGUGCAGUCAUUUAUUUGUUUAGAGUCAUCUAAGGAACCACAAAAAACAAUACAUCUCAUUCCCAGAUAAUUGCAACCGGUUAUCUUUUAACAUCAAUCAACAUCCCAUAGCAUACUGGACAAUUUAUUAAUAUUUUAUAAGUAAUAAAAUUAUUUUAUUUUGGGAAAGGCCUCAAAGCUUCCUAGUUUUUCUAAGAUUCCUGGGUUUCUCUGUGACUUUCUGAGGCCAAGCUAGGCUCAGCAGCAAAGGUGGCAGAAGGUCAUGAAGAGUUUCCCUUGGGUGAAAACUCUAAAACCUACCUGGGCCUGAUCUCCUGGAGUUUAGUCUCUGUCCUUGAAGACAAGCAGUAGGAGAACCUCUGAUGUGAUUAUACUCAUGUGGCACUAAUCACAAGAGUGGUUACAACAUUCAGGUGCAUUUAUGUGA